RNAcentral lists this ribosomal RNA (447 nucleotides) under uncultured bacterium. RNAcentral's name for it is "bacterial SSU rRNA". It matches the Rfam family "Bacterial small subunit ribosomal RNA", at positions 32 to 507 of the family's 1533-position model. The record is from RNAcentral.
AAUCAACGCUGGCGGCGUGCCUAACACAUGCAAGUCGAACGAUGAAGCCGCUUCGGUGGUGGAUUAGUGGCGCACGGGUGAGUAACACGUGACUAACCUACCCUCGAGUGGGGAAUAACUUCGGGAAACCGAGGCUAAUACCGCACUAAUACCCACGGGUCAAAGGAGCAAUUCGCUUGAGGAGGAGGUCGCGGCCGAUUAGUUAGUUGGCGGGGUAAUGGCCCACCAAGACAGUGAUCGGUAUCCGGCCUGAGAGGGCGCACGGACACACUGGAACUGAAACACGGUCCAGACUCCUACGGGAGGCAGCAGUGGGGAAUUUUGCGCAAUGGGGGAAACCCUGACGCAGCAACGCCGCGUGGAGGAUGAAGUCUCUUGGGACGUAAACUCCUUUCGAUCGGGACGAUUAUGACGGUACCGGAAGAAGAAGCCCCGGCUAACUUCGUG